This 449-nucleotide ribosomal RNA is filed under the name uncultured bacterium. RNAcentral describes it as "partial 16S ribosomal RNA". It matches the Rfam family "Bacterial small subunit ribosomal RNA", at positions 329 to 793 of the family's 1533-position model. The record is from RNAcentral.
GUCCAGACUCCUACGGGAGGCAGCAGUGGGGGAUAUUGCACAAUGGGGGGAACCCUGAUGCAGCGACGCCGCGUGGGUGAAGGAGUGCUUCGGCAUGUAAAGCUCUAUCAGCAGGGAAGAAAAAAGGACGGUACCUGAGUAAGAAGCCCCGGCUAACUACGUGCCAGCAGCCGCGGUAAUACGUAGGGGGCAAGCGUUAUCCGGAAUUACUGGGUGUAAAGGGAGCGUAGACGGCAAUGCAAGUCCGGAGUGGAAUGCGGCAGCUCAACUGCCGAACUGCUCUGGAAACUGUAUGGCUUGAGUGCAGGAGGGGUAAGCGGAAUUCCUGGUGUAGCGGUGAAAUGCGUAGAUAUCAGGAGGAACACCGGCGGCGAAGGCGGCCUGCUGGACCGCGACUGACGUUGAGGCUCGAAAGCGUGGGGAGCGAACAGGAUUAGAUACCCCAGUAC